GUAUGCAAAUGAGAAAAUGAAUGUAAAGUUAGAAAGAUAUUCACAGAUUCAAACUUCCGGGAUCAAUAAAUCUUAGCUGAGACGUUCUUAAAACACAAACGAUGCCUAUGUGCAAUUAUAAUAGCAUAAACUACGAGCUACAAGGACCAAAAUGUUGAUUUUU
Molecule: long non-coding RNA, 163 nt
Organism: Melanotaenia boesemani (Boeseman's rainbowfish)
Lineage: Eukaryota; Metazoa; Chordata; Actinopteri; Atheriniformes; Melanotaeniidae
Exons: 3
Source: RefSeq, a predicted model, not a curated record